AUUGGUGGAAAUAGGAACUACCGACAGGCACCGAUAGACUGUCGGUGCAAUAGCUGAAAUACCAUUCGAGCACCGACAGUCUGUCGGUGCAAUAGAUUUUUCGAAUAAGAACUUGGGCAGGCCAUCAAGGAUCCGUAUCAAGUAUAACGCAUCAGAAACAACGAAAGCGGCCGAGCCUUGGCACCGGUGACUUGGACAGCUACGUAUCCUCAGCCCAAAAAUCCAGCGUUGGUUACGGAAUCGAAAAAGACGAAGCUUUGAUCGUGAACUGCAAAUAACAAGUAGAUUUGAUACCAACUUUGAUCACCCAACGUUGGGUCAAGACGCUUAGCUCCAAGUACCCCACCAUGGAAUUCCGUUCUUCGAUGACCCAUCCCUUUGGUAAAGGUUCGUUGAUCAACUCUGUGCGCCAGUUUGACAAGUUUCACCCCAACAAUAAGCAAAUCAGCGUGGGUUCCAUCGGUUACCGGAAAAUUGGAAAAUCAACCGUCAUUAAUUCGUUACCCAGCAAGAAAGUCUGCGAGGGCGCCCAUCGCCGGUGAGACCAAAGUUUGACAGCACAUCACGCUGAUGCGUCGAAUCUUCCUCAUCGACUGCCCGGAAGUUGUAUUUCCCACCGGAGAGACGGACGAAGAAAAAGUGUUGAAGGGUGUCGUUCAAUUGGAAAAGCCGAAAACGUCCUAAGUA
This 687-nucleotide long non-coding RNA is filed under the name Daphnia pulex (common water flea). Its description in RNAcentral is "uncharacterized LOC124209319, transcript variant X2". The record is from RNAcentral. Lineage: Eukaryota; Metazoa; Arthropoda; Branchiopoda; Diplostraca; Daphniidae.